This 475-nucleotide ribosomal RNA is filed under the name uncultured bacterium. Its description in RNAcentral is "partial 16S ribosomal RNA". It matches the Rfam family "Bacterial small subunit ribosomal RNA", at positions 28 to 523 of the family's 1533-position model. The record is from RNAcentral.
GACGAACGCUGGCGGCGUGCCUAAUACAUGCAAGUCGAACGGCACCCACCUCCGGGUGGAAGCGAGUGGCGAACGGCUGAGUAACACGUGGAGAACCUGCCCCCUCCCCCGGGAUAGCCGCCCGAAAGGACGGGUAAUACCGGAUACCCCGGGGUGCCGCAUGGCACCCCGGCUAAAGCCCCGACGGGAGGGGAUGGCUCCGCGGCCCAUCAGGUAGACGGCGGGGUGACGGCCCACCGUGCCGACAAAGGGUAGCCGGGUUGAGAGACCGACCGGCCAGAUUGGGACUGAGACACGGCCCAGACUCCUACGGGAGGCAGCAGUGGGGAAUCUUGCGCAAUGGGGGGAACCCUGACGCAGCGACGCCGCGUGCGGGACGGAGGCCUUCGGGUCGUAAACCGCUUUCAGCAGGGAAGAGAAGAGACUGUACCUGCAGAAGAAGCCCCGGCUAACUACGUGCCAGCCGCCGCCGUAA